This 73-nucleotide transfer RNA is filed under the name Mycoplasmopsis agassizii. RNAcentral's name for it is "Mycoplasma agassizii tRNA". It matches the Rfam family "tRNA". From Rfam's summary of the family: Transfer RNA (tRNA) molecules are approximately 80 nucleotides in length. Their secondary structure includes four short double-helical elements and three loops (D, anti-codon, and T loops). The record is from Rfam by way of RNAcentral. Lineage: Bacteria; Bacillati; Mycoplasmatota; Mycoplasmoidales; Metamycoplasmataceae.
GCGCCUGUAGCUCAGCGGAUAGAGCAUCAGUUUGCGGUACUGAGGGUCAGGGGUUCAAUUCCCUUCAGGCGCG